This 459-nucleotide ribosomal RNA is filed under the name uncultured bacterium. Its description in RNAcentral is "partial 16S ribosomal RNA". It matches the Rfam family "Bacterial small subunit ribosomal RNA", at positions 338 to 795 of the family's 1533-position model. The record is from RNAcentral.
CCUACGGGAGGCAGCAGUGAGGAAUAUUGGUCAAUGGCCGAGAGGCUGAACCAGCCAAGUCGCGUGAGGGAUGACGGCCCUACGGGUUGUAAACCUCUUUUGUCGGGGAGCAAAGAGAGUCACUUGUGGCUCAUUGAGAGUACCCGAAGAAAAAGCAUCGGCUAACUCCGUGCCAGCAGCCGCGGUAAUACGGGGGAGGCGAGCGUUAUCCGGAUUUAUUGGGUUUAAAGGGGGCGCAGGCGGAGGUGCAAGUCAGUGGUCAAAUUGCGGGGCUCAACCCCGGACUGCCGUUGAAACUGCAUGCCUUGAGUGCGCGAGAGGUAUGCGGAAUGCGUGGUGUAGCGGUGAAAUGCAUAGAGAUCACGCAGAACUCCGAUUGCGAAGGCAGCAUACCGGCGCGCAACUGACGCUCAUGCACGAAAGCGUGGGUAUCGAACAGGAUUAGAUACCCCUGUAGUC